AUGAUGAGUCGGCAUCGACUUAUUAUUAAACUGAGGUGGUACAGGAUGAGCAUGCGUCUGAUUAGCUAGUUGGUAGUGUAAUGGACUACCAAGGCAAUGAUCAGUAGGGGAACUGAGAGGUUGAUCCCCCCACACUGGCACUGAGAUACGGGCCAGACUCCUACGGGAGGCAGCAGUAGGGAAUAUUGGACAAUGGGUGAGAGCCUGAUCCAGCCAUGCCGCGUGCAGGAAGAAGGCCUUCUGGGUUGUAAACUGCUUUUAUCUGGGGAUAAAAAGGCCUUGCGAGGCAAACUGAAGGUACCAGAUGAAUAAGCCACGGCUAACUACGUG
This 330-nucleotide ribosomal RNA is filed under the name uncultured bacterium. Its description in RNAcentral is "bacterial SSU rRNA". It matches the Rfam family "Bacterial small subunit ribosomal RNA", at positions 173 to 507 of the family's 1533-position model. The record is from RNAcentral.